CGCAGGCGGUCUUGUCCGUCAGGUGUGAAAGCUCGGGGCUCAACCCCGGAAGUGCACUUGAAACAGCAAGACUUGAAUACGGGAGAGGAGAGAGGAAUUCCUGGUGUAGAGGUGAAAUUCGUAGAUAUCAGGAGGAACACCGAUGGCGAAGGCAUCUCUCUGGACCGAUAUUGACGCUGAGGCGCGAAGGCGUGGGUAGCGAACG
This 205-nucleotide ribosomal RNA is filed under the name uncultured bacterium. RNAcentral's name for it is "partial 16S ribosomal RNA". It matches the Rfam family "Bacterial small subunit ribosomal RNA", at positions 570 to 774 of the family's 1533-position model. The record is from RNAcentral.